Molecule: ribosomal RNA, 464 nt
Filed under: uncultured bacterium
Lineage: Bacteria
Description: partial 16S ribosomal RNA
Rfam family: Bacterial small subunit ribosomal RNA
Source: RNAcentral
GACGAACGCUGGCGGCGUGCUUAACACAUGCAAGUCGAACGGAAAGGCCCAGCUUGCUGGGUGCUCGAGUGGCGAACGGGUGAGUAACACGUGGGUGAUCUGCCUCUAACUUCGGGAUAAGCUUGGGAAACUGGGUCUAAUACCGGAUAGGACAAUCGUUUAGUGUCGGUUGUGGAAAGUUUUUUCGGUUAGGGAUGAGCCCGCGGCCUAUCAGCUUGUUGGCGGGGUAAUGGCCUACCAAGGCGUCGACGGGUAGCCGGCCUGAGAGGGUGGACGGCCACAUUGGGACUGAGAUACGGCCCAGACUCCUACGGGAGGCAGCAGUGGGGAAUAUUGCACAAUGGGCGCAAGCCUGAUGCAGCGACGCCGCGUGGGGGAUGACGGCCUUCGGGUUGUAAACCUCUUUCGACAGGGACGAAGCCUUGGUGACGGUACCUGUAUAAGAAGCACCGGCUAACUACGUG